GAUGAAGAACGCAGCGAAAUGCGAUAAGUAAUGUGAAUUGCAGAAUUCAGUGAAUCAUUGAAUCUUUGAACGCACCUUGCGCUCCUUGGUAUUCCGAGGAGCAUGCCUGUUUGAGUGUCAUUAAUAUAUCAACCUUCUCUUUUUUGAGUUGUUUGGAUGUGGGGGUUUGCUGGCCUCUUAAAUGAUUCAGCUCCCCUGAAAUGCAUUAGCAGAACAACCUGUUCAUUGGCGUGAUAAUUAUCUAUGCUAUUGAAUGUGAGGGCAGUUCAGCUUUCUAACCGUCCUUGGACAAUUCAUCAUUAAUGUGACCUCAAAUCAGGUAGGACUACCCGCUGAACUUAAGCAUAUCAAUAAGCGGAGGA
This 362-nucleotide unclassified non-coding RNA is filed under the name soil metagenome. RNAcentral describes it as "partial contains 5.8S ribosomal RNA, internal transcribed spacer 2, and large subunit ribosomal RNA". The stretch from base 1 to 120 matches the Rfam family "5.8S ribosomal RNA", at positions 35 to 154 of the family's 154-position model. The record is from RNAcentral.